UGCCUACGGGGGGCAGCAGUGGGGGAUAUUGGACAAUGGGGGGAACCCUGAUCCAGCGACGCCGCGUGAGUGAAGAAGUAUUUCGGUAUGUAAACCUCUUUUGUCGGGGAGCAAGACCCGCCUCGUGCAGGCGGAGCGAGAGUACCCGAAGAAAAAGCAUCGGCUAACUCCGUGCCAGCAGCCGCGGUAAUACGGAGGAUGCGAGCGUUAUCCGGAUUUAUUGGGUUUAAAGGGUGCGCAGGCGGCGAGUUAAGUCAGCGGUAAAAUUUCGGGGCUCAACCCCGACGAGCCGUUGAAACUGGCUU
RNAcentral lists this ribosomal RNA (305 nucleotides) under uncultured bacterium. RNAcentral's name for it is "bacterial SSU rRNA". It matches the Rfam family "Bacterial small subunit ribosomal RNA", at positions 335 to 639 of the family's 1533-position model. The record is from RNAcentral.